UACGUAGGGGGCUAGCGUUAUCCGGAUUUAUUGGGCGUAAAGGGAACGCAGGCGGUCUUUUAAGUCUGAUGUGAAAGCCUUCGGCUUAACCGGAGUAGUGCAUUGGAAACUGGGAGACUUGAGUGCAGAAGAGGAGAGUGGAACUCCAUGUGUAGCGGUGAAAUGCGUAGAUAUAUGGAAGAACACCAGUGGCGAAAGCGGCUCUCUGGUCUGUAACUGACGCUGAGGUUCGAAAGCGUGGGUAUCGAACAGG
This 253-nucleotide ribosomal RNA is filed under the name uncultured bacterium. RNAcentral's name for it is "partial 16S ribosomal RNA". It matches the Rfam family "Bacterial small subunit ribosomal RNA", at positions 524 to 776 of the family's 1533-position model. The record is from RNAcentral.